Molecule: long non-coding RNA, 638 nt
Organism: Manduca sexta (tobacco hornworm)
Lineage: Eukaryota; Metazoa; Arthropoda; Insecta; Lepidoptera; Sphingidae
Exons: 3
Source: RefSeq, a predicted model, not a curated record
GAUGUUUUAGGAUAUUCCGAUAGAGACGUUACCAAGCACGAUUUACACAAAUUAGUUUACUUGGAAGCAGUUAUAAAAGAAACCUUGAGACUGUAUCCGAUUGCACCCAUCGUUUCGAGAUAUGCUGAUUCUGAUGUGAAAUUAAAGAACUAUACGGUGCCAGCUGGAUGCAGCGUAUUUUUGUUAUUUUGGGGCAUGCAUCAUCAUUCAAUCUGGGGCCCUGAUGCAGAACAGUUUAACCCAGAAAGAUGGCUGGAUUCACCCACAUUAUCAACGAACUUAAAACUUUUCGCGGGAUUCAGCAUUGGAAAAAGAAACUGUAUAGCAAAAACAUUUGCAAUGAUGUCGAUGAAGACUACAAUUACACAUCUACUAAGACACUACAAAGUUAACGCAGAUAUUUCUAAGAUCACCUUGAAAAUCGACGUUAUGCUCCAACCAGCCUCUGGAAGUGUUAUAAGUUUAGAUUUAAGACGCCCUAAGAACCAUAUUGGCUGUUAAAUAAAUUGUAAAGGAAUGGAGAAUACAGCCAAAAAUUGAGUGAAUACUAUUAUACUAUUAACUUCUAUUAUAUAAUAUUUACUCUAAAUAUAAGUAAGUUGUACAAUAAUGUAUUUCAAUAGUGAGUGAAUGUUAAU